Molecule: long non-coding RNA, 250 nt
Filed under: Prunus persica (peach)
Lineage: Eukaryota; Viridiplantae; Streptophyta; Magnoliopsida; Rosales; Rosaceae
Description: long non-coding RNA (PPER_LNC002078)
Source: RNAcentral
AUUUUUAGUACCUAUGCAAAUAGGGUUAAAAUCACAUAAAAUACUUGCAAGAAUACAAGGCUAUUGUAGUAUAGAUGCUCAUGCAAUGUCAUUCUCCUCAAGGACUAUUUAGCAAUAUAUGUAAAAAUAAUUUCUAAUUAACUACCUAAAAUUAAAAGUUGAGAAAGAUGAUUGUGAAGUUGUUUGACACUAAAAACAAAUUUUAAACAAAAACAAUUACGGUUGCAGGAAAGAGUUGUAAAUACCAAUU